AACGAACGCUGGCGGCAUGCCUAACACAUGCAAGUCGAACGAGACCUCCGUGACUACUUGCGCACGGGUGCGUCACGUGUGGGAACCUGCCCGUAGGUUCGGAAUAACUCCCCUUCAGGGGUGCUAAUACCGGAUAAUUUCCGCUGACCAAAGAUAUAACCCCCUUGGAUGAGCACGCGUUGGUUUAGCUUGUUGGGGGUGUAUGAGCCUAUCACGGCGUCGAUCCGUAGCUGGUCUGAGAGGAUGAUCAGCCACACUGGGACUGAGACACGGUCCGGACUCCUACGAGAGGCACCAGUGGGGAAUAUUGGAGAAGGGGCGCAAGGGGGAUCCAGCCAUACCGCGGGGGUGAAGAAGGCCUCCGGGUCGUAGAGCCCGUUUGUGGGGAAAGAAAAGCAGCAGUUUUAUACCGCGCUGUUCUGACGGUACCCGAAGAAUAAGCCCCGGCUAACUUCGUG
Molecule: ribosomal RNA, 458 nt
Filed under: uncultured bacterium
Lineage: Bacteria
Description: partial 16S ribosomal RNA
Rfam family: Bacterial small subunit ribosomal RNA
Source: RNAcentral